AUGUUACGGACCUUUUCUGAUGCUAUGGGACAGAAGCAUCCUAUAUCUGUGAUCACGGAUGGGGACCUUGCAAUGCAGAGAGCAACCAGGGUGGUGUGGCCUGACUCAAACCAUAGGCUCUAUAUAUGGCACAUUCAGCAGAACAUUGUAUGUCAUCUGCAUGAUGACGCGGUAAAGGAGGAAUUCAGAUUAUUCAUAUAUGAUACAUCUUCCAUUGAAGAGCAUGAGAGGAAAUGGUUACAAUUCUUACAACGGAAUAAAGUAACAAGUGAGGACUCCUGGUUGCAUCAGAUGUAUAAGAUGAGAAAAUUGUGGUGUGCUCCAUAUCUUGAGGGUCGUUGUUUCUCGGGAUUGAGCAGCAAUCAGCAUAGUGAUAGUUUAAACUCGGUGCUACAUACGCAUCUUGAUGCUAAGAUGACGUUGUUUCAAAUGCUAGAGCACUAA
Molecule: ribosomal RNA, 444 nt
Filed under: Triticum aestivum (bread wheat)
Lineage: Eukaryota; Viridiplantae; Streptophyta; Magnoliopsida; Poales; Poaceae
Description: partial small subunit ribosomal RNA
Source: RNAcentral